Molecule: microRNA precursor, 86 nt
Filed under: Chlorocebus sabaeus (green monkey)
Lineage: Eukaryota; Metazoa; Chordata; Mammalia; Primates; Cercopithecidae
Description: miRNA (ENSCSAG00000026649.1)
Source: RNAcentral
ACGCGCGUGCUGCGGACCUGGGUUGGCGGAGUGGGGCCCAGUGGUCACCGCCACUCCACAGGUCCGGGUUGCCGCGCGCAUGCGCC